This 495-nucleotide long non-coding RNA is filed under the name Actinidia chinensis (golden kiwifruit). RNAcentral describes it as "long non-coding RNA (ACHI_LNC006572)". The record is from RNAcentral. Lineage: Eukaryota; Viridiplantae; Streptophyta; Magnoliopsida; Ericales; Actinidiaceae.
UUCCCAAAAAAUUCCCAAAAAUUUAUCCCGAUCGGAGCGGGACGGGGUAAAUUGCCAUCCCUAGGUGGUACACUGGUGGAGGGUGGUUAUAGAGUUUAGAAGUAUGACUAGAGGACGGGGCAACUUCAAACAUCCGGGAGGGGACUGUCUUUUCCAGUCCCUGAGGGGUAUUAAUGUAGUAUACGUAAACCUCAAUGGAGGUAAGUGUAAUGUUUCAUGAGACUACUAAAUGUACGAUGGUUGUAGUGUAUGAGUGAUCACACCCAAGGUCUUCCCCGGUAAAAAGAAAUUGGAGACGAAGACCAUCAUUCCUUCAUUCAUUCAUCGUUGUUGUUCGUUCUUCGUCUUCUCUGCUCUCUUUACAAGUUCGUCUCCGUCUUCUUGUGCGUGUGUAUUCAACGAAGGGGAGCCACAACGCGGAUCGAUCUCGAUGUCUAACUUGUUCAAUCAUAUCUGAGGACUUGCUCAUCGGAAUCGCACCAUCAAUUUCUAUCG